AGCUUGCCCAGCCAAGAGAUUGCUGGAGGAGGCUGUGGAAUGGGCGGGGAGACAGGCGCCGAGGUAUGGCUGGUGAUUGGGAUG
This 84-nucleotide ribosomal RNA is filed under the name uncultured bacterium. Its description in RNAcentral is "partial 16S ribosomal RNA". The record is from RNAcentral.